Molecule: long non-coding RNA, 2079 nt
Filed under: Physcomitrium patens
Lineage: Eukaryota; Viridiplantae; Streptophyta; Bryopsida; Funariales; Funariaceae
Description: long non-coding RNA (PPAT_LNC011870)
Source: RNAcentral
UUGUUGUUGUUUUGUAUGGAUUAUUUGCAUGUGUUGUUGUUGUUGUUGUGUGUUGAGAUUACAAGCAUGUGUCAUUGUUGUUGAUGCGUAAGUGUUAGCGUUACUUGCAUGCGCUUACAAAAGCCUUGAGCAAGCUUUUCUCAUGCUGAGGUUGGACUGUGCAGCGCUAAACACCUUCGUUGUUUCUGUUCACUGGGUUGUGGGAUGGUGUGCUGCUAUUUGACAAGUGCAAGCUCAGCUGGGUUCCCUUUCUGGUGCUGUAGACGCAUUCUGAAGGCCCACACAAUGUUUUCGCGCACAUUUCAAGUUGUGGGGGGCUAUGGUUUUUCUAGGGUUUUGGAAUGUCUAUUCUAACAAUGGCGCAUUCGGAGUCCAGUAUUCGCAUCCAAUAGAUCCGAUUCUUUCUCCUGGUGCAAGAGCCUUCAUUUGCUGGAGUUGUCUGAGGUUUGAGCAACGUCAUACUGGCAUUCUUCUGUUGUCCUUUGCUGCUUCUUUAUUUUGAUUUUGAUGUUUGCAACUUGGUUUUGGUUUUGCAAUUUUUGAAACAGUUGGGGCUUAAAACAUGUUAAGGUCAAUCCGUUCGUGGAAAACUCUGUUCGAUUUAUUGUAUCACAAUCAUUCCCUCAUGUGUCAUUGUUCUUGAGAAUUUUACUAAAUCCCAUAAGAGAGGCUAAAGGAAAUACUCACGAGCACUCUAUAUUAGCAUGAAGUUUGUGAUUUUGCAUAUUACAUUGUGCCAAUGUUUUUUUUUGCGUUUGACGCGAAAAUUCUCGGUGAAUUUUCUAGUAUGGUGGAUGUUGCUGAUUGUUUGCUGUUCAUCUCAUUACGGGUGAGAUAAUGUAUGUAUAUUUUUCUAAUUUUAUUUUCUGGCAUCCAGUGGUCAAUGCUCGUUGUGAUGUACUAAACAAAAAAAAAUUAAAUGGAGGAUUCCAUGCGAAGGAGCACUAGGGUUUAUCCUGGACGUCGCAAAAUCCAACCUGUUGCGUUGAUGAAACGACCAAGUCGGUGCUUAUCUCCUGCUCUUUAGUCAUCAAUAGUAUCAGUGUUUAUAAGUUAACGUCGAGUUUUCUUUGCUCAAAUCUGUUCCUGAUGGAGGACCCAAAACCAGAAAGCAUUGAACCUUGGAUCCUACAAAGCAUUCUAACUUCUUAAAUAAUCAAAGCUUCAAGGACAUUCAAGGAUUAUGAGAGUAGGUCUAUAAUUCAACAAUGAUAUGGAUUUCUUAAGCUGCGUUUUCAAGCAAAGCUAGAACUUCUGCCUGAAGCUUCACUGGAAACUUGUUUCACGACACUUUUCUUCGUAUCGAGAGACAUGCAUUGAGUUUAAAACUCUCAGCCCAAAACGAUACAUAUCCCUGGUAUGCAAAAAAAUUCAAGGAAAUACACAUUUUUAACUAAACAAAGUUGCUCCAAGUAAGGUCUUCUUGAGGCUGAGUUAAAGUUCAGCAAAGAGGGGCCGUUCUGGUGACAUACAUAUUGCCAUCUCCUUUACAAACGUCGUAGUGUAGAAGCACGACUACCUGUAUGAUAAAUUCUGUUUAUAUUCGCCAAAGAAAACCCAGUUUUCACAUUCUACCAACCGCCCAUCAGAUAUUCUCUCUGUAGGAAGCUUUGCACCCUACAUCUUCAUGACGGCAUACGAUCGAUUCACGCUAGCUUGCGAACUCCUUCAACCCUUCAAUCAACAAACACCCCACAUUGUACGAACCUCCUGUAAUUACUAUAACAAACACGUUACUAAGGAAAUUUCUACACAUGCAUCAAGAGCACAGCGGCAGCAGCGAUGGGAGGCAAAGUCCAUUAGAAGCCACUUCAUCGAGAUAGCACUUCAUGACGCUUGUUCAUCGUGUGCAGAGGGAGAUCUACAACUGGGUCCUGGCGGUUGCGCAACGAGGAUAAAAUGUAUGAAUCGCGCUACAAGGGCCAGAUAAACAUGCGUCGCAAAACCAAACUCCUCCAGUUCGGCCUAGGUGGAGCAGCACCCAUCGAUAUAUCAUUCAUCUAUUUUCCAGGCUUUAACAUCCACAACUGCACCACAUGUACCAGCGUUUUCAUUCAUUCACUGCCUGUUUUCUUCCGC